Molecule: ribosomal RNA, 253 nt
Filed under: uncultured bacterium
Lineage: Bacteria
Description: partial 16S ribosomal RNA
Rfam family: Bacterial small subunit ribosomal RNA
Source: RNAcentral
UACGUAGGUGGCAAGCGUUGUCCGGAAUUACUGGGCGUAAAGGGCGCGUAGGCGGGUGGACAAGUCUCUCGUGAAAGCCCACGGCUCAACCUCGGAACUGCCUUUGAUACUGCAGAUCUCGAGUCCGGGAGAGGUGAGUGGAAUUCCUAGUGUAGAGGUGAAAUUCGUAGAUAUUAGGAAGAACACCAGUGGCGUAGGCGGCUCACUGGCCCGGUACUGACGCUGAGGCGCGAAAGCGUCGGGAGCAAACAGG